Molecule: non-coding RNA, 103 nt
Filed under: Sporanaerobacter sp. PP17-6a
Lineage: Bacteria; Bacillati; Bacillota; Tissierellia; Tissierellales; Sporanaerobacteraceae
Also listed under: 1 other name
Description: TPP riboswitch aptamer (THI element)
Rfam family: TPP riboswitch aptamer (THI element)
About the family: Vitamin B(1) in its active form thiamin pyrophosphate (TPP) is an essential coenzyme that is synthesised by coupling of pyrimidine and thiazole moieties in bacteria. The previously detected thiamin-regulatory element, thi box was extended, resulting in a new, highly conserved RNA secondary structure, the THI element, which is widely distributed in eubacteria and also occurs in some archaea.
Source: Rfam by way of RNAcentral
UUUUAACACUAGGGGAGUCGUGAUGACUGAGAGGGAAGUUAAUCUUCCGACCCUUGAACCUGAAAUGGAUAAUACCAGCGGAGGGAAGUGUAGUUGUUUAUGA